This 379-nucleotide unclassified non-coding RNA is filed under the name uncultured Pseudomonadota bacterium. RNAcentral describes it as "uncultured proteobacterium contains 16S-23S intergenic spacer region". Lineage: Bacteria; Pseudomonadati; Pseudomonadota. The record is from RNAcentral.
UCCGGUUUGUCACCGGCAGUCUCAUUAGAGUGCUCAACUGAAUGUAGCAACUAAUGACAAGGGUUGCGCUCGUUGCGGGACUUAACCCAACAUCUCACGACACGAGCUGACGACAGCCAUGCAGCACCUGUCUCUCAGUCCCCUUGCGGGGAAAACCGACUUUCAUCGGCGAUCCGAGGAUGUCAAGACCAGGAUAAGGUUCUUCGCGUUGCGUCGAAUUAAACCACAUGCUCCACUGCUUGUGCGGGUCCCCGUCAAUUUCUUUGAGUUUUAAUCUUGCGACCGUACUCCCCAGGCGGGAUGCUUAACGCGUUAGCUUCGUUACUGAAAGGGUUAACACUCCCAACAACAAGCAUCCAUCGUUUACGGCGUGGACUAC